UAAAAAGGGUCUGUGACGGAUGCCUCAAGAGGAAGGGGCGAUGAAGGACGUGGCGUGCCUGCGAUAAGCCUCGGGGAGGUGGCUAGCAACCUGUGAUCCGGGGAUCUCCGAAUGGGGAAACCCAAGCCGUGCUCAACACGGCUUACGCCGUGCUUCGCACGGAAAUUCGAAGCACGAAAUCCGAAAUCCGAAACAAAUUCAAAAUUCAAAAUUCAAAUGCCCAAAACAAGUUUUGAAUUUUGGUCAUUUAGAUUUUGAUAUUGUUUCGAAUUUCGAUAUUCGAAUUUCGAGUUUCCGUGCGGAGCACGGUGGGCGAACCCGGGGAAGUGAAACAUCUCAGUACCCGGAGGAAAAGAAAACAAUGCCAGGGCUGUCCAAAUUUUCAAGUCGAAGACGUAGAAAAUUUGGAAACAGACCUGAGCACCCAGCCGUAAUUUUGCCGCACAAAUGAGGGCAAAGCCCAGCACCACUUCGGGCUAUAUAGCCCAGAGUGGUGCUGGGCUUUGCGAGAGAAAUCAGGAUUUAUUCUCAAUAAUUAGAAUAACCUUGAUUUUGUGAAGCAAAAUUACGGCUGGGUCAAGGUUUUGUUGCCAAAAAUUCUUCGCCUUUUAAGGCUUGAAUUUUUGGACAAAGCCCUUGAUUCCCUGAGUAGUGGCGAGCGAAAGGGGAACAGCCCAAACUCAUUCGUUCGUGCCUCACUGCGUUCGGCACAAAUUCAUGUAACAUGUAACAUGUAACACGCAACAUAAAUUCAUGUAACAUGUAACACGCAACAUAUAAAUAAUUUAUAUUGUUACAUGUUAUAUGCUACAUGUUACAUGACAAGAUGUUACAUGAUAACAAGCGAGCGUAGCGAGGCGCGAGCGAGUGGGGGUUGUAAGGUAGAUACGUCCCAAGACUUUGUUUUGGGCAGAGCUAAUUAAAUUAUGAUGGUUAGCUGAAGGUAGCUGGAAAGCUCCGCCAUAGAGGGUAAAAGCCCCGUAAGCGAAAACCGUCAUAUGCUCUGAGUAUCUAUCCUUGAGUACCAUGGGACCAUAUUAUCUCAUGGGAAGCAGGCAGUACUACCUGCCAAGGCUAAAUACCCUUCCUCAUUGAUAGUGAACCAGUACCGUGAGGGAAAGGUGAAAAGUAGCCCGGUGAGGGCGGUGAAAUAGAACCUGAAAUCACAGACCUACAACGAAACGGAGC
This 1188-nucleotide ribosomal RNA is filed under the name Candidatus Nealsoniibacteriota bacterium. Its description in RNAcentral is "bacterial LSU rRNA". It matches the Rfam family "Bacterial large subunit ribosomal RNA", at positions 9 to 580 of the family's 2925-position model. The record is from RNAcentral. Lineage: Bacteria; Candidatus Nealsoniibacteriota.